UACUUUUACGGAAUUACUCGGGCGUAAAGCGCCGCAGGCGGUUUGGAUAAUUAGAUGUCUAACUUUGGGGGUCAAUCUGGGAAUUGCAUUUGGACUGUCCUUUUAGAGUCUUGUAGAGGGGGGUAGAAUUCCAGGUGUACCGGUGAAAUGCGUAGAGAUCUGGAAUAAUACCGGUGGCUAAGGCGGCCCCCUGGACAAAUACUGACGCUCAGGUGCGAAAGCGUGGGGAGCAAACAGGAUUAGAUACCCUGGUAUUCACUCCGUAAACGAUGUCGAUUUGUAGGCUGUUUCCUUGAGACUGGCUUUUGAGCUAACCGUUAAAUCGACCGUCUGGGGUAGUACGGCCGCCAGGUUAAAUUCAAAUGAUUUGACGGGGCCGUACAACGGGUGGACAUGUGUUUAAUUCAUUCUACGCAAUUAAUCUUCUUGGCCUUGACUUUUUGGAAUCCUGUUAAUUUCGGAGGU
RNAcentral lists this ribosomal RNA (465 nucleotides) under Aeromonas sp. SD BAR. Its description in RNAcentral is "bacterial SSU rRNA". It matches the Rfam family "Bacterial small subunit ribosomal RNA", at positions 537 to 1015 of the family's 1533-position model. Lineage: Bacteria; Pseudomonadati; Pseudomonadota; Gammaproteobacteria; Aeromonadales; Aeromonadaceae. The record is from RNAcentral.